AACGACUCCUGUUGGUUGUCAGCUGCACGAGACGCGCGGCAUAACGUGAGAUAUGAAAACUGUCAGUUAACGUCAGUUGCUCGCCUCGGUUGUGUCGAACGCGUCCGUCCGUCCGUAGUACCGAGAGGAACCGGAGCCGGGCGGUGUGAGAGCCCCGGUCCCCGCUCUGAGGGAGCUCCCUGGCGGCUGCGCUCUUUGCAACAAGUCGGUAAAGUGAAUGACUGUGCGUGUUUCUAGUUUCUUCACUCCAGCUUUUGACUCCCAUGACUCCAGGAACUGUCUGAUUCUGGAUCUGUCAGGCAGGACUAGGACAGGCCCAGGCAGAAAGAGAUGAGCUGGGCUGAGGAGGACUGGACAGUGGGGCUGUCUGGACGGGUCCUGCAGAAGGUGAAGGAGCUGCAGGUCCAUCAGGAGCGACUGUCCAGAGAGAACAAGCAGAAGCAGCUGCAGCUGGACAACAUCCAAACUAGCCUUGAGAAACAGACUGUGAAGGUAC
This is a long non-coding RNA of Morone saxatilis (striped sea-bass), 496 nucleotides long. RefSeq lists it as uncharacterized. The transcript is spliced from 3 exons. NCBI's taxonomy places the organism in Eukaryota, Metazoa, Chordata, Actinopteri, Moronidae. The record is from RefSeq and is a predicted model, not a curated record.